GACGAACGCUUGCGACGUGCCUAAGAAAUGCAAGUCGAACGGACUAGCCUUCGGGUUAGUUAGUGGCGAACGGUCGCGUAACACGUGGGCAACCUGCCCUGAAGCGGGGGACAACAGCCUGAAAGGGCUGCUAAUACCGCAUGUGGAUCGCCCUGGCAUCAGGGAUUAUCCAAAGCCUUCGGGCACUUCAGGAUGGGCCCGCGGCCUAUCAGCUAGUUGGAGGGGUAACGGCCCACCAAGGCUCGACGGGUAGCUGGUCUGAGAGGACGAUCAGCCGGAUUGGGACUGAGAUACGGCCCAGACUCCUACGGGGGGCAGCAAUUAGGAAUCUUGCACAAUGGGCGAAAGCCUGAUGCAGCGACGUCGCGUGGGGACGAAAUCUUUCGGGAUGUAAACCCCUUUUGAGUGGGAAGAAACAAAUGACGGUACCACUCGAAUAAGCCCCCGGCUAACUACGUGCCAGCAGCCGCCG
RNAcentral lists this ribosomal RNA (472 nucleotides) under uncultured bacterium. RNAcentral's name for it is "bacterial SSU rRNA". It matches the Rfam family "Bacterial small subunit ribosomal RNA", at positions 28 to 520 of the family's 1533-position model. The record is from RNAcentral.